This 686-nucleotide ribosomal RNA is filed under the name uncultured Chroococcales cyanobacterium. RNAcentral describes it as "bacterial SSU rRNA". It matches the Rfam family "Bacterial small subunit ribosomal RNA", at positions 94 to 813 of the family's 1533-position model. Lineage: Bacteria; Bacillati; Cyanobacteriota; Cyanophyceae; Chroococcales. The record is from RNAcentral.
AGUGGCGGACGGGUGAGUAACGCGUGAGAAUCUACCUUCAGGAUGGGGAUAACAGUGGGAAACGACUGCUAAGACCCGAUGUGCCGAGAGGUGAAAAAUUUAUUGCCUGAAGAAGAGCUCGCGUCUGAUUAGCUAGAUGGUGGGGUAAGAGCCUACCAUGGCGACGAUCAGUAGCUGGUCUGAGAGGAUGAGCAGCCACACUGGGACUGAGACACGGCCCAGACUCCUACGGGAGGCAGCAGUGGGGAAUUUUCCGCAAUGGGCGAAAGCCUGACGGAGCAACGCCGCGUGGGGGAAGAAGGUUCUUGGAUUGUAAACCCCUUUUCUUAAGGAAGAAAAAAAUGACGGUACUUAAGGAAUAAGCAUCGGCUAACUCCGUGCCAGCAGCCGCGGUAAUACGGAGGAUGCAAGCGUUAUCCGGAAUCAUUGGGCGUAAAGCGUCCGCAGGUGGUCUGAUAAGUCUAGGGUCAAAGACAGAAGCUCAACUUCUGCAAGGCCAAGGAAACUGUGAGACUAGAGGCAGGUAGGGGUAGCAGGAAUUCCCAGUGUAGCGGUGAAAUGCGUAGAGAUUGGGAAGAACAUCGGUGGCGAAAGCGUGCUACUGGGCUGAGCCUGACACUGAGGGACGAAAGCUAGGGGAGCGAAAGGGAUUAGAUACCCCUGUAGUCCUAGCCGUAAACGAUGGA